This 360-nucleotide unclassified non-coding RNA is filed under the name Hevea brasiliensis (rubber tree). The record is from RNAcentral. Lineage: Eukaryota; Viridiplantae; Streptophyta; Magnoliopsida; Malpighiales; Euphorbiaceae.
UAUAAGCACAUUUAUUAUUAAAAUUAUUAAAAAAUGGGUAUUGAAUGAGGUAUGUGGUAGAAUUCUAAAAUUAAAAGAGAGUAAUAUGGUAAAGUACUUGGUCAAACUAAUUUAUAAGUCCAAAAAAUGUUAUAAACAAACAAAUUACUUAUUUUUAGAGCUUCUAAGCUGGUUUGACCAGCUUAAAAGUUAAGACAAACAUCCUCUAAGACUUCAACCACAUCACAUAAAGAUCGAAAUAGUGUCCACACAACGCAAAGGGCACGUACAGGCAUGGUGAAUUUUCUCAUAUCUAUUUUAGCUUUACUUGAAAAGGCAGUCAGUCAAACAAGAGCGCAAGCCUUUGAAAAGUUAUAUGAG